GGUGUCUCUCUUUGGGAAUCGUCGGCUAAAAAGGUAAAGUGGAAGUCCCCCCUCCCCCCACUGGUGUUGGCACUAGGGGCCCUGGCUGCUGCCUGGGCUUCUGCAGUUGUACCUCUUUCCGGCAGGUUCUCCAUGGUGAUAGACAAGGGCGUAGUAAAGGCACUGAACGUGGAGCCGGAUGGCACAGGCCUCACCUGCAGCCUGGCCCCCAACAUCCUCUCACAACUCUGAGGCCCUGACCAGAAUGUCCUCUGACUCUCCCAUCUCCUCCACCCAGCUCUGGGCCAAAGGCCCAGUACCUCCUUACCUGAGGGCCACUGGAAUGGAACCUUGACAAUAUUUCUGCAAUAAACAGUUUAAUUUGU
Molecule: long non-coding RNA, 365 nt
Filed under: Rattus norvegicus (Norway rat)
Lineage: Eukaryota; Metazoa; Chordata; Mammalia; Rodentia; Muridae
Description: long non-coding RNA NONRATT003503
Source: RNAcentral